GACGAACGCUGGCGGCGUGCUUAACACAUGCAAGUCGAACGGAAAGGCCCUGCUUUUGUGGGGUGCUCGAGUGGCGAACGGGUGAGUAACACGUGAGUAACCUGCCCUUGACUUUGGGAUAACUUCAGGAAACUGGGGCUAAUACCGGAUAGGAGCUCCUGCUGCAUGGUGGGGGUUGGAAAGUUUCGGCGGUUGGGGAUGGACUCGCGGCUUAUCAGCUUGUUGGUGGGGUAGUGGCUUACCAAGGCUUUGACGGGUAGCCGGCCUGAGAGGGUGACCGGCCACAUUGGGACUGAGAUACGGCCCAGACGCCUACGGGAGGCAGCGGUGGGGAAUAUUGUACAAUGGGCGGAAGCCUGAUGCAGCAACGCCGCGUGCGGGAUGACGGCCUUCGGGGUGUAAACCGCUGUCGCCUGUGACGAAGCGUGAGUGACGGUAAUGGGUGAAGAAGCACCGGCUAACUACGUG
Molecule: ribosomal RNA, 468 nt
Filed under: uncultured bacterium
Lineage: Bacteria
Description: partial 16S ribosomal RNA
Rfam family: Bacterial small subunit ribosomal RNA
Source: RNAcentral